Molecule: small RNA, 121 nt
Filed under: Halopseudomonas formosensis
Lineage: Bacteria; Pseudomonadati; Pseudomonadota; Gammaproteobacteria; Pseudomonadales; Pseudomonadaceae
Source: RNAcentral
CGCUUAUUUUUACGGGUAUUGGUUUAGCCAAGGGCUGGCCUGAUCCCGUCAGGCGGCCCACUCAGCACCGGCCGCCCACCGCAAGAAUCAAGAAACCCCCGGUCGGCCACCCGACCGGGGG